RNAcentral lists this unclassified non-coding RNA (409 nucleotides) under Hevea brasiliensis (rubber tree). Lineage: Eukaryota; Viridiplantae; Streptophyta; Magnoliopsida; Malpighiales; Euphorbiaceae. The record is from RNAcentral.
UCCUGGAAAGCAGCUCUCAAAGUUGGCGACCUCCGGUUACGUCGUGGACGCCUAGUUAGGGGAAGUGGUUUAACAUUGGGGGUUCCCUUUGGACCCGGUGGUCUGUAGAACGGUGGAGCAUCGGGGAAUUUUCCUGCCACUGCAUUAGCUUCGCACUCCUCGAUACUUAAGCCCAAGGUUUUCACUGGUGUCUCCUGCUCUUUGCUCGCUCUGACAACUGUAACAGGACACACCCUGUUCACACGUGGAGCAUAUGCAGCUCUCCGCACGACCAAUGGUCUCAAGCCCGCAUAACUUUGAUCAUCUACGGUUCUAACCAGAUGUCCAUUUCCCGAACCAAAACUAACAGUGAAUGCCAUCAACCACUACACUCACACAAUACCUGCACUGGAUUCGGAGGAACGGCGGG